CCUACGGGGGACAGCAGUCGAGAAUCAUUCACAAUGGGGGAAACCCUGAUGGUGCGACGCCGCGUGGGGGAAUGAAGGUCUUCGGAUUGUAAACCCCUGUCAUGGGGGAGCAAAUUAAAAAGAUAGUACCACAAGAGGAAGAGACGGCUAACUCUGUGCCAGCACCCGCGGUAAUCCAGAGGUCUCAAGCGUUGUUCGGAAUCACUGGGCGUAAAGCGUGCGUAGGCUGUUUCGUAAGUCGUGUGUGAAAGGCGCGGGCUCAACCCGCGGACGGCACAUGAUACUGCGAGACUAGAGUAAUGGAGGGGGAACCGGAAUUCUCGGUGUAGCAGUGAAAUGCGUAGAUAUCGAGAGGAACACUCGUGGCGAAGGCGGGUUCCUGGACAUUAACUGACGCUGAGGCACGAAGGCCAGGGGAGCGAAAGGGAUUAGAUACCCGAGUAGUC
Molecule: ribosomal RNA, 446 nt
Filed under: uncultured bacterium
Lineage: Bacteria
Description: partial 16S ribosomal RNA
Rfam family: Bacterial small subunit ribosomal RNA
Source: RNAcentral